UACAGAGGUCCCAAGCGUUGUUCGGAUUCAUUGGGCGUAAAGGGUGCGUAGGCGGCGCGGUAAGUCGGGUGUGAAAUCUCGGAGCUUAACUCCGAAACUGCAUUCGAUACUGCCGUGCUUGAGGACUGGAGAGGAGACUGGAAUUUACGGUGUAGCAGUGAAAUGCGUAGAUAUCGUAAGGAAGACCAGUGGCGAAGGCGAGUCUCUGGACAGCAACUGACGCUGCGGCACGAAGGCCAGGGGAGCAAACGGG
This 253-nucleotide ribosomal RNA is filed under the name uncultured bacterium. RNAcentral describes it as "partial 16S ribosomal RNA". It matches the Rfam family "Bacterial small subunit ribosomal RNA", at positions 524 to 776 of the family's 1533-position model. The record is from RNAcentral.